RNAcentral lists this ribosomal RNA (248 nucleotides) under uncultured bacterium. RNAcentral's name for it is "partial 16S ribosomal RNA". It matches the Rfam family "Bacterial small subunit ribosomal RNA", at positions 523 to 769 of the family's 1533-position model. The record is from RNAcentral.
AUACGUAGGGGGCAAGCGUUAUCCGGAUUUACUGGGUGUAAAGGGAGCGUAGGCGGCAAGGCAAGUCUGAUGUGAAAACCCGGGGCUCAACCCCGGGACUGCAUUGGAAACUGCUUAGCUAGAGUGUCGGAGAGGUAAGUGGAAUUCCUAGUGUAGCGGUGAAAUGCGUAGAUAUUCGAAGGAACACCGGUGGCGAAGGCGGCUACCUGGACCGAUACUGACGCUGAGACGACGAAAGCGUGGGGAGC